Molecule: ribosomal RNA, 611 nt
Filed under: uncultured methanogenic archaeon
Lineage: Archaea; Methanobacteriati; Methanobacteriota
Description: bacterial SSU rRNA
Rfam family: Archaeal small subunit ribosomal RNA
Source: RNAcentral
UUGGUGGAGGCAAGAGCCCGGAGAUGGAAUCUGAGACACGAUUCCAGGCCCUACGGGCGCAGCAGGCGCUGAAACUUUACAAUGCAGGAAACUGUGAUAAGGGAACCCCCGAGUGCCCGUACACCGCGGGCUGUCCCGGUGUUUAAAACACAUCGGGAAGAAAGGGCCGGGCAAGACCGGUGCCAGCCGCCGCGGUAUUACCGGCGGCUCGAGUGGUGACCACUUUUAUUGGGCUUUAAGCGUUCGUAGCUUGAUUUUUAAGUCUCUUGGGAAAUCUCACGGCUUAACUGUGAGGCGUCUAAGAGAUACUGGGAAUCUAGGGACCGGGAGAGGUAAGAGGUACUUCAGGGGUAGAAGUGAAAUUCUGUAAUCCUUGAGGGACCACCGAUGGCGAAGGCAUCUUACCAGAACGGCUUCGACAGUGAGGAACGAAAGCUGGGGGAGCGAACGGGAUUAGAUACCCCGGUAGUCCCAGCCGUAUAAUCUAUGCGCGUUAGGUGUGCCUGUAACUACGAGUUACCGGGGUGCCGAAGUGGAAAACGGUUGAAACGUGCCGCCUGGGGAAGUUACGGUCGUCAAGGCUGAAACUUAAAGGAAUUGGCGGGGGAGCA